Long non-coding RNA from Triticum dicoccoides, 1898 nucleotides. RefSeq lists it as uncharacterized. Lineage: Eukaryota; Viridiplantae; Streptophyta; Magnoliopsida; Poales; Poaceae. The record is from RefSeq and is a predicted model, not a curated record. The transcript has 4 exons.
GCCCAGAGCCCACCCUAAUCUUCCCCUAUCUCUCCGCCCUCUCUCCCUUAUCUCUUUCUCUCCCGAUCUGAGCGGCGGCGGUGGCGGCUCCCAUCCUCUUCCUCCACUCCUCUCCCUCAGAUUGAGCUCCGCCCCGAAGGAAAGGGUACGCGGCCGUCGAUCUGUGUGCGUCUAGCCAUGGAGGGCUCGCCCCUCUCGCGCGCCUCGUCCGCACGGAGCGCUAGCAGCCCACACGGCGUAGAUCCACUAUCCCUGCGUCCGCCCCACACCGGCCGCCGGUGACUGCCGCACUAUUCCAUUCCUCCCCAAGCGUGCCGCACGCGAUGGCCCAUGCUACCAUGCCGUUUUUCUGCAGCCAGACCGCCACCCCUACCCUCGCGCUCCGGGCAGAGGCUCAUUCUUCUUGGUGGUGACUACGCGUUCCUCCCGGUGGUGGCGCUCUGCCCGCUGUGUUACCUUUCUCCAAGCAGCUGUGCCCUUCGACCCCUACCUGUAAUCAAUUGAUCCGGCAACAGAGAGUUGAAGCUGCAAAGAAGCGUGAUGAGGAAAAAGCCGAAUUUAUGACUGGCAGAUUACAUGCUGGUUUCUUACUGCUUAGGUUUCGACAUUCGACAUUUGAACAAAUCAUAUACUGGAGAUUAUUAUAAUAGAAGUUCACCUAGUGUUGGAUAAAAGUUGGACAGAUCCACAUAGGUAAGUCUUAUCCAUAUAAUGCUUUUACAAUCUGCCAGUGGAACUUUAAAUGAUACGAUUUACCAAUUUCAACGAUGUAUAUUAGCAGAUUAAGUAAAAGCAGUGUUAGAUAUGAAAUGAACUUAAUUCAACCAUUCUCUAGAAGAAAGUACCUAUUUGUCAUAUGGCGAUGUUAUCUUGUAGAACAACAAUAGGGAUUUGUUAACAUUCGACCUUUAUGCUGUACUUUUUCCAUUUUGAUUCGCCUACUGUUAAUAUCCUCUUCUUCAACUGACACAUUCUUGCAAGCUAUCACAAUUGAUGAAAUAUAAUUACGAGCACUUAGCUUUUUUGAAUUUUAUAUGCAUACCAGAAGAUUUACUCGUUACAAACAUUAAACAGACGGACCUCUUUUUCAACAAGUUGUUUCAAAUCCCACUGAGACAAAAUAAAAGUGUGCUACUGCUAAUUACUAUACUGGAACAGAAUGUAUGGUUGACAUAAAGGCUAUAUUGGAAUAUUUUAGCUGUUGUGGUGUUCCUAAUAACUUAAAACUGCUGUGAAGAUGAACUGAACAAUAAUACUCUCAAAUUAGAGAGCAAGAAAUUUCGAGUUAGUCUACUGUAGGGUAAUAAAGUUCUUAUAUAUGCUGCAAAUCAGUUGCCUUGUGGUGUAAUCACUGAUGUCAUGUUUCCAUAAGUGCCUGCUGUAAUGACCUUAAUAGUGCAAAGCUAUGUUUUAUAUAAAUUUGCCUAUUCUUUCCAGAGUGCAGGGAAAUGUAUGAGGUGAAUCAAUUUUCCUAUUCUGUUGUUGCUGCUAUAUUUAGGUGUAUGUGGGUUUAAGAUUGGACACUAAUUGUUGAACUAGGAGCUUUCCCUCGUUAGGAAUAUAAGCUGAAACUUUCCCAUUGCCUUGAUUCUUUGUAGGAAAGACAUACAAGAUGACCAGGAACCAUGAAGCUCGCAGUUUGCGUUAACUGUGUAAUGGAGAGGACUAUGAAUCGCUGGACAUGUGUCUAUUAGCUAUCAUAUAUGGUGUCUUGGUCAAGUGGAUAUUCUGUGUAAUGUAAGACGCAUGAUUUGUAGGACAUAUAUCUAUUGGCUAUCAUUUUGUAAACCUAUCCGGUCUCUCGGUCACUGAACCAUAAAUGUUUCCUCUUAAUUGGCUACCUCCUCCGUUUGUGAGAAGUAAUUAAUGUGCUAUUUUUGUUUGGUUUUGGUUUAAUA